CUUGGGAGGUGAUCCUCCCCCAGAUAGAUCGCAUAAUGCAUUAUGCGAUCUAUCUGGGGGAGGAAGCCCUUCGGUU
Molecule: non-coding RNA, 76 nt
Organism: Podarcis lilfordi (Lilford's wall lizard)
Lineage: Eukaryota; Metazoa; Chordata; Lepidosauria; Squamata; Lacertidae
Source: the annotation of a GenBank genome assembly